CUUUCUCUAUCUCCUUCUC
RNAcentral lists this small RNA (19 nucleotides) under Arabidopsis thaliana (thale cress). RNAcentral's name for it is "ATSL295250". Lineage: Eukaryota; Viridiplantae; Streptophyta; Magnoliopsida; Brassicales; Brassicaceae. The record is from RNAcentral.